Molecule: non-coding RNA, 72 nt
Organism: Bos taurus (domestic cattle)
Lineage: Eukaryota; Metazoa; Chordata; Mammalia; Artiodactyla; Bovidae
Source: Rfam
UCCCUGGUGGUCCAGUGGCUAAGACUCUGCGCUCCCAAUGCAGGGGGCCUGGUUCGAUCCCUGGACAAGGAG